This is a long non-coding RNA of Homo sapiens (human), 4861 nucleotides long. Ensembl annotates it as adipocyte associated pyruvate carboxylase interacting lncRNA. Its record names the gene ADIPINT. The record is from Ensembl. Lineage: Eukaryota; Metazoa; Chordata; Mammalia; Primates; Hominidae.
AUUGUGCUUAGUGAAAGCCCAGUUUCCGCAGGGAUUACUUUGGGCACACAACAUUCUAGGAGCUGGAUGUCCAGGAAUUCCUGUUAAUUAGGCAUUUAUUCACGGAAUAAAUGUUUCCCUGAAGAGCUUUCUGCAGCUGGCCAAUGUUCCGGUUUGGUCGUGGGCAGUGAGAUGCCCAUUAGUCUAGAAUACACGACAGUGUGAGGCGCACGUUCACACGUGAAUUGCCCGUAGUCAAGGAUCUUGCUAUGGUGCCCAGGCUGGCCUUGAACUUCUGGCCUCAAGCAAUCCACCCAUCUCAGUCUCCCGAGUAGCCGGGAUUACAGAUCUACAUUUAGAACAGGACUGCAAAGAAAGGAAAGGAGAAAUGAAGAAAAGGAAGCAGACAAAGUUCUGGUUUUCAGUAGUUCCUUGGAGAGCUCAAGACUCAGACUCUGACCCUGUCUGCAAAGGGGGAUCGUCCAGCCUUUGAAAUAACCAUUUCCUUCCCUCCUGGCCUUUUUCAGAUCAGAGAGGUGGGAGGGGGCGUGGAGAUUUAGUUCCCGGAUGCACUGAACAGGAGGCUGUGAGCUUUCCUCUGAUGUGCGACUCUUCUGCAGGGGCCCUGGCCCUGGGAGGCGGGGCUCUGGGCUGCGGCAGCUCCUCCUGUGGUCUACCUUGGCUUCACUGCAGGCCCAGCUGCUGCUGACCACGCGGGUUUCUUUUAAGAGGCUUGGCUGACCCUCAGCACAGCUGAAAUGUUCUGAGACCUUGAAUGUCAGAGAUGGAAGCAACUUUAUGAUUCUCUGGGCCAGAGGUUCCCAGGCUGGGGUCCCUGGACUUGGGGUGCUCAGACUAUUCCCGGUUCUUUCAAAAGCUGAAAAGAAACAGUAUAUAGCCCCUGUGUGAGGGCUCACGGGCUCGUAAAAGUAUCCGGUGUCUUGACUUUUCUCUGAAAUCAGCUCCAGCUGGUCCCUCUGUACCCUGGUGUUGCUGGUGACAGUGAUAGCUUCCCACUGAACUUAGCUGCUAGAAGCAAGGUGAAGCCCUUCACACACCAUCUCACUGAUCUUCGAUCCUGUAAGAUGGGUACGUUUAUGAGUCCUAUUUUGCAGAUGGAGACACUAAGUGCCAAAGGGGUUAAGCACUGUGCCCGAGUUCACACACCCAGCAGCCUGACUCCACAGCUCCAACCCCCAGCUACUAGCAAAUAGUCCUCUGAAAGCUCAGUUAUUUAGCUUUGAACACAGCAAAACUCAUCAUUAUUCAGGGAAGAUAAUUUAGUAGAGAAAAUGUUGAGAUCUAAGUACUACACUUAGGAGGAAUAAUAAAAGGGUUGGUGGAAUAGUUGAGGAUAUGCCAUUUUUAAUUUUUUAUUGAUUUUGUUUUGUUUUGUUUUGUUUUUCUUUGCUCUUGAGAGAUGGCACAUGCCACUUUGUUUUGUAAAACAAAGGCCUAGAGAAGUGAGGGUCCUGCCCAGUGUCAUCUUGGGAACUGGUAGCCAGGACGAGAACUUGUUUCACUUUGCGUGGACUUCUUGGGUCUGACUCCAGAGGGCCUCCAGGGCAGCAGUGGCUUGUCCCGAGCUGAUGGCAUAUGACUGGGGGUUCCCUGGAAGGGUCUCUGACAUCCCCCUGUCCUGGCAGGCCACUCCCCAGCAAGGGUCAGGCCACACAUCUUGACUAGCUUUCCACCAGUCCCCACCGACCUCCCACCAGCUGCACAUUGCCUUGGCCUUGCCAGACCACAGAGCCGUUUAGAGCUGGCAGAGGCCAGCAGAAUUCAUCUUCAGCAAACUCUUCCUUCCAAUCCCAUCAUUGUACAUGUACUUUAUGAUUUGCAAAGUGCUUCCACAUCUUCCACAUCAUUCAACUUGAGACCCAGGGCUGUUCUGGGAGCUGGGUGGGGGAGGGAUAGUACCCCAUUUUACAAAAGGAGAAAAGGAAGUUCUAAGAGGCAAAGUACCUUGUUCAAGGUCACACACUCAGAUAAGAAAUGUUGGAGUCAGAAGUUGGAGCUGGGUUGACCUUUUCCAUUCCAGUGCCUGUUGCACCAAACAGCCUCCCUGUUUGGAAUGAGGAAUUGCAAGAAGCAGCGGUAAGUCACAUGCCAAGCUGGGUUGUGCCAAGAACUUUAUAUUUAACUAACAGCAUCGCCAUUAACCAUAUCUUUUUUCCCAUAGUGGACAAAUACAGGUACCUAAAUUAAAACAAUUUUAUCUGUGUCAACCAAGAUUGCAGGCCUGCACUCUGAGAACUCAUGAUGUAAUGAAUAGACACAAAUGUUCAAGGCAGAAGUGGUUUAUAUUCUAGACUCAUAACUGUCUCACUGUGACCCUGAGAAAAUGUUAUGCUCUGGGCCCCUGUUUUCCAUGUGUACAAUGAAGAUAAUAAUACCUAACACCUACCUUGCUUGUUAUGAAAAUGAUUAGGGCCGUCAUAUACAAGUUUCUUCGUAAAAUUUUAAGACGUGUUAUACAACUAUUACACAUGACCAUGAAUCUUCGUAAACACCUAAGGCAAGGGAAAUUCACAUACACACACACACACACACACACACACACACACACACACAUAAACACAUUUAUAUGUAAUUAAUGAUGAAUAAGUACAUCCUAAGUAGUUUACAUGGCUCAUUCUAUUAAUUGGAACAAGAGCCUUGUGGAAGCUAGUACCAUGAUCAUUCCCAUUUUAUAGAUGAGGAAACUGAAACCCAGAGAUCUUAAGUAACAGGUAGCAAAUGGCAGAAGCAGGAUAUGAAAUCUGGAUAACAGGUAAGCUCUUUAACAGCCAAGGUGCAUCAGAAUCACCUGAAGGGCUGGUUAAAAUAUGAAAUGCUGAGUCCCACCCCGUGAUUCUGAUUCAAUAGGUUUGGUGUGGGGCCUGAAAAUUGGAUGCUGAUACUGCCGGAUCAGGGACCACACUUUGAGAGCCACUAUGUUAAGCUUUGUGCCCAAGACCACAUACCCAGCAGUCUGACUCCACAGCUCCAACCCUCAACUACUAGCAAAUAAAUAGUCUUUUAAAAGCUCAGUUGUAUAGCUUUGGAUACUGCAAAACUCAUCAUGAUUCAGGGAAGGGAAUUUGGUAGAGAAAAUGUUGGGGUCUCAGUACUACACGUAGGAGGAAUAAUAAAAGGGUCUCACUGCUUGUAAUCCCAGCACUUUGGGAGGCCGAGGCGGGCUGAUCACGAGGUCAGGAGAUCGAGACCAUCCUGGCCAACAUGGUGAAACCCUGUCUCUACUAAAAUACAAAAAAUGAGCCUGGUGUGAUGGUGCAUGCCUAUAGUCCCAGCUACUCGGGAGGCCGAGGCAAGGGAAUCGCUUGAACCCAGGAGGCAGAGGUUGCAGUAAGCUGAGAUCGCGCCACUGCACUCCAGCCUGGCAACAGAGCAAGGCUGUGUCUCAAAGAAAAAAAAAAAGUGUCUCACUGUAUACAGAGCUCUCCUGCCCUUCCAAUGGCCCAAUCCAGGCCCCCUGAGGCCUGUGACACAGGUUAGCUGGAUCUCUGUAUGCACUAGGUGCUUGACUUAUGUCUGGUAGAUACAUGUUACGCUAAUGGAGAGGUGUGGAAGUGGACGGUGAUGCUGGGUAGACCUUUUCUCCUUCGGAAACCAAGUGAGAGAAGUUACCCCAUGCAUUUGCCUGUGUUUGAAGGCCCUGCAGGUGCCUGAAUCUUUGUGGCUGUGGCUACUCAGGCCCUUCCCCAGGGCCAUCCAGCAGGAGGGAAGGCCAUUUGUCUGGAAAAGGCACAGGAGAGAAUUCACAUGAUGUCUUCCCAGCUCCCAUCAGUCAGGGUUUCCCUUUAAGCUCCUCACACUCCCAGAUUUCAGGAAACAGUCUAUGAAUGGAGAGAAAAGGCACAGCCUUCAAAAACAGAAAGCACAGACCAAGAAUAUUUAAAUUCAAUAAACCUAAUUUAAUUUAUGUUUUUGAAAAGAAAUAAGAAACCAACUUCCAGAAGAAGAGAAGCAUUUCAGAAAACAGGGGUUGAGCCAAAAGCUGUGGUCACAGAUAUAAGAGAGUAAAAAAUCAAGGGCAUAUGGAUAUCCACUUGUUCCAGAACUAUAUUUGUGGAAAAGACUAUGCUUUCUCUACUAAAUUGCAUUGAUAUUUUUGUAAAAAAUCAGUUGUCCAGACCUAGAAUAGCCAAAACAAUCUUGAAAAACAACAAAGUUGGAGGACUCACACUUCACAAUUUCAAAAUUUACUACAAAUCUGCAGCAAUCAAGACUGUGUGGUACUGGUGUAAAGACAGACUUAUAUCAAUAGCACAGAAUUUGAGAGUCCAGAAAUACAAGCUCACAUUUAUGAUAAGUUGAUUUUCUGCAAUGGUGCCAAGAUCAUUCAAUGGAGGAAAAAAACCAGAAUCUUCAACAAAUGGUGUUGGGGCAACUGGAUAUCCAUAUGCAAAAGAAUGAAGUUGGACCCCUGACUUACACCAUAUAAAAACAUUAACUCAAAAUGAACCAAAGACCCAAAUGUAAGAGCUAAAACUAUAAAGCUUUGAGAAGAAAACAUAGGUAUAAAUCUUCAUGACUUUGAAUUAGGCAAUGGGAUAUUUCCUCAUUUAGUUUGGUCUUGUUUAACUUCUCUCAGCAAUGUUUUGUAGUUUUCAGUAUAAAUCUUGCACAGCUCUGGCCAGACUUAUGCCUAAGCAUUUCAUAUUUUUGUGUUACUGUAAAUGGUAUUGUCUUUGAAUUGCAAUUACCAAUUUUUUUUUGCUUGUGUAUAGUAAUAAAAUUGAUUUCUUUAUGUUGAUUUGAUAUCCUGCAACCUUGCUAAGCUCACUUAUUAGUUCUGCAGCUUUAAUGUAGAUUUCAUCAGAUUUUCCCCAUUGACAAUUAUGCCAUCUGUGAAUAAAGGCAGUUUCUGAUCUGGAUG